Molecule: non-coding RNA, 72 nt
Organism: Potamilus streckersoni
Lineage: Eukaryota; Metazoa; Mollusca; Bivalvia; Unionida; Unionidae
Source: the annotation of a GenBank genome assembly
GUUCCAGUGGCCUAGUGGUUAAGGCAUCCACCUUGUAAGCAGGGGUCACAGGUUCAAAUCUUGGCUGAGUCA